AUGAGAGAUUUUGGUACCACUUGGUGUGAGUGGAUUAAAAGUAUCUUGGUUGAUGGUACAGUCAGUAUUAAGCUGAAUAAUACCAUGGGGCCGUACUUCAAGAGUUUUAAGGGGGUUAGGCAGGGCGAUCCUGUGUCACCAUUCCUCUUUAAUAUAGUGGUUGAAUUCUUAUGCAAAAUGGUUUUGCAAGCUCAGAAAAAUAAUUUGAUUACUGGACUGGCCCCGGACCUUAUUGAUAAUGGAGUGUCCACUCAGCAAUAUGCAGAUGACACAGUCCUGUGUAUUUGA
RNAcentral lists this ribosomal RNA (288 nucleotides) under Triticum aestivum (bread wheat). Its description in RNAcentral is "partial small subunit ribosomal RNA". Lineage: Eukaryota; Viridiplantae; Streptophyta; Magnoliopsida; Poales; Poaceae. The record is from RNAcentral.